GGUUCCUUAUCGUAGAAUACUCUGCUAGACGUAGAUAAUAUCCUAGCAUACAGACGACCGUUGUCCAACGUGGUACCGAGUACCUGAGUAGCGAACUCCGUGCUGGCUCCAUCUUGGACGAAGGUUCGAGCGGUUUUCGUUAAUAGACCGACCGGAGGAAUGGAUUUACCGGGUCGAGCCGAGACUAGGAGGACCGUGGUAACACCUGAGGACGAUCAUCGAGUAUGGAACGAGUCAGGAGGAUUUUAGGAUCAUUCAGAAACACCGGGGUCAAUCGCCGCACGAGGAGCACGUAUUUCGUUUUAGAUAAUGUAGGUCGUCGGAGAGACGGAGUGGCGGGCGGACGUUGGAGGCAGACGGCAUCCAGUUGUUGAGAAGAGUUGAAGAGGCGAGGAGCAGGCGGGAGCAGUAACAGAAACAGAAAAAAAAGAGACAGACGAUCUUAGUGGACGAGUCAUCCUGUUGGUAUAUAGACUAUAGAGAGCAACCUGCUACGUCCCCGUUUCUCUACCCUCUGUCCACGAGUAUCGAUUUCCGAUCGUCGCACUGUUCACGGACCCGAAUCAUAUCGUUUCGUUUCGUUCCGUUUCGUGCUACCGGAAACGGGACUCCGUGAAUUAAUGCGCGCAAGGAAACGACGAUAAGAGGCGCGCCAGACGUUCAAAAGUUGUCCAGUAUCGGUAUUAUGUAUAUAUAAUAUAAUAUGUACAGCUCGAGGGACUUGAAAGGGAGUUACAGAGGAUCUGUGUUUUGCUCGGUCACAAUGAAGCCGUGUCUAAUUCGUGCUCGAUUUAUGGGUCCGUGCGAACCGUGAAAUGAAUUUCACGUUUCGUAUAGUGAAAGUUUCUUCUAUGUAUCUAUAAUCGUGUUCAUUGUUGAUAUACUUGUCUCAUUUUUGUUUAUUGUUUGGUUUUAUUCUUUCUUUUCUCGAAUCGUUUUGUUAGAUUGAUUAUCAAAUCCCUCGAGACUAUAUACAGUCUGUAAUACGAGUUCCUGGACGCGAUAUUUCUUUGUGGAAAAUAAUUCUGUUUGUAAGAAGCUCUAAGUAAAUUUAAGAUAUGUCUUAGAAGAUAAUAUGUUUUCAAUAG
This 1088-nucleotide unclassified non-coding RNA is filed under the name Bombus terrestris (buff-tailed bumblebee). Its description in RNAcentral is "misc RNA ENSBTSG00005024500.1". Lineage: Eukaryota; Metazoa; Arthropoda; Insecta; Hymenoptera; Apidae. The record is from RNAcentral.